GGAGAGAUGGGUGAGUGGCUUAAACCAGUUGUUUGCUAAAUAACCGUACGGGUAAUACCGUACCUCGGGUUCGAAUCCCGAUCUCUCCGCCA
Molecule: transfer RNA, 92 nt
Filed under: Bdellovibrionales bacterium
Lineage: Bacteria; Pseudomonadati; Bdellovibrionota; Bdellovibrionia; Bdellovibrionales
Description: tRNA-Ser
Rfam family: tRNA
About the family: Transfer RNA (tRNA) molecules are approximately 80 nucleotides in length. Their secondary structure includes four short double-helical elements and three loops (D, anti-codon, and T loops). Further hydrogen bonds mediate the characteristic L-shaped molecular structure. tRNAs have two regions of fundamental functional importance: the anti-codon, which is responsible for specific mRNA codon recognition, and the 3' end, to which the tRNAs corresponding amino acid is attached (by aminoacyl-tRNA synthetases). tRNAs cope with the degeneracy of the genetic code in two manners: having more than one tRNA (with a specific anti-codon) for a particular amino acid; and 'wobble' base-pairing, i.e. permitting non-standard base-pairing at the 3rd anti-codon position.
Source: RNAcentral